AUCGCUAAAAAAAGGUUUCCUCCUCAUGGUUAGGGAUGUGGUUUUCAGGCCAGUUUUUCUUGUAGUUGAUACGUUCCUGCCCAUGCCCAGUAUGUUAGCAUUCGCAACUGGACAGUCAGGAGUCCAUCUCGUGACUCAUGUGGGAUUGGAGUUUUGGCUUUCAGAUGCUGCCUUCAGUUUCUCAGAAUUGGAUCUUAUCGUCGCCGAGUCUAGAACUGCACUCUUCCUGGGUGAAUUGUUACCACGUGAAAAAAGCUAUCGUCAAACAGAUUCAUUCCCAAGGGAGGAAUUCCCAAGGGAGAGGAAAAAAGAAUGGAAGCAACAGGACAUAAGAAAAUGAAGGACGGUGCUUUCUUGGGAUGCUGGCCACACUAACGAAGCUCAGAGGCACUUACUGAUGGCAAACCUCAUGUCAUUGUUUGGAC
Molecule: long non-coding RNA, 425 nt
Filed under: Felis catus (domestic cat)
Lineage: Eukaryota; Metazoa; Chordata; Mammalia; Carnivora; Felidae
Description: lncRNA (ENSFCAG00000050756.1)
Source: RNAcentral